AGUGAACGCUGGCGGCAGGCCUAACACAUGCAAGUCGAACGGUAGCACAGUAAGAGCUUGCUCUUACCGGUGGCGAGUGGCGGAGGGGUGAGGAAUACAUCGGAAUCUAUUUUUUCGUGGGGGAUAACGUAGGGAAACUUACGAUAAUACCGCAUACGACCUACGGGUGAAAGCAGGGGAUCUUCGGACCUUGCGCGAGUGAAUGAGCCGAUGUCGGAUUAGCUAGUUGGCGGGGUAAAGGCCCACCAAGGCGACGAUCCGUAGCUGGUCUGAGAGGAUGAUCAGCCACACUGGAACUGAGACACGGUCCAGACUCCUACGGGAGGCAGCAGUGGGGAAUAUUGGACAAUGGGCGCAAGCCUGAUCCAGCCAUGCCGCGUGGGUGAAGAAGGCCUUCGGGUUGUAAAGUCCUUUUAUUGGGGAAGAAGAGCAGCAAGUUAAUACCCCGCUGUUCUGACGGUACCCAAAGAAUAAGCACCGGCUAACUUCGUG
RNAcentral lists this ribosomal RNA (492 nucleotides) under uncultured bacterium. RNAcentral's name for it is "partial 16S ribosomal RNA". It matches the Rfam family "Bacterial small subunit ribosomal RNA", at positions 29 to 507 of the family's 1533-position model. The record is from RNAcentral.